UAAAAAGAUAAGCUAAUUUUAAGCUAAUGGGCUCAUACCCCGUAAAUGAAAAUAUAAUUUCUCUUUUUA
RNAcentral lists this transfer RNA (69 nucleotides) under Parasesarma bidens (red claw crab). RNAcentral describes it as "tRNA-Met". The record is from RNAcentral. Lineage: Eukaryota; Metazoa; Arthropoda; Malacostraca; Decapoda; Sesarmidae.